This 1270-nucleotide long non-coding RNA is filed under the name Parus major (Great Tit). RNAcentral's name for it is "lncRNA (ENSPMJG00000009337.1)". The record is from RNAcentral. Lineage: Eukaryota; Metazoa; Chordata; Aves; Passeriformes; Paridae.
GGGAGGAGGUGUGCAAUCAAACCACAAAUGCAGAAGGACUGCUGGGAGCUGAAUGUGGGGGAGAAGACACCAAAGGGAGCGGCAGGACACAACAAGUGUGGCAUGGGAAGACAAAGGGGGAAGUGGGGACGAGCAGGAGGCCUGGGACUUUAAAUGCUACUGGAAGUCAGAAGGGAAGAGAUGACUGAUACCAGAAAAGGAACUGUACAGCUGGAAAGUGAAAUGUGAGAUGGGAAUUGCACAUGUGAGAAGGGAAGGCAACUGAGGCUGUUGAUGGGGCAAGGAAACUUCAGGGUGCCUUUUAUGAGAAAACUUUGGGCCCAAGAAGGUUUAUGCUGAACCCUCAAACACAUGCUGUUCAAAUGGCUUGAAAUAUUGAGUGAAGUGUGUUCAUCUUUCAUUAGCUGGAGAAAAGGGUGGAGAUGGAUUGAGAGGGCUGCUCUGGUGUCCAGUCCUGGGUGGAGGUUCCUGUAUCCCAUGUGGCUGGAUUUAUGGUCAGUUUGGCUUGGAGCUAAAGGACAAAUCCAUGGUGUACAUCAGCCCUGCCUUUCGAUGUGGUGCCAGUGUGUUGGGCUGCCAUUCAGGAGAACCGAGGUGGAAAUGGAAGCCAAACUACACGUGGCUCUUGGGUGUCUCUCUGUAUGAUAAACCAGGGGGGUGCACUGUGCCAUUUCUCAACAAUGCAUGCAUUUUCUUUCCAUUGAAAUGCUAUGGUUGGUGUUACAGUUUUCAAAUUAAAAACUGAAUGUGUUUGAAUAUUUUCCCACACAAACAUUUCUUUGACUUGCAAAAUUCUUUUCUGUUAAAAGUGUCAGAGUGGAUUUUUAACCCAUUCUAAGAAAUUUUCUGCUGUCAAAAAUGACUAAUAUCCUAAACUCUCUUAAGAGUUAUUUGUCCCCAUUUUCCUUGCUGAAAAACGAUGAUUUCUGGAAUUGUUUUUGUUUUGUUUUGUUUUCUUUUUUCUCCCUUUAGUAUUCUUCUAGCAUCUCCAUAGUUUUUUCUCACCCAUGUAUAGCACUAAACUUUGGAAAGAGUGAUUUUUCUGAACAUGGAAAGUAAAAGAAAUGGCACAGUAGUUCAGCUGGGAUUAAGAAGAGAUUUAAGCCAAGCCUGAUCUAUAGGGAGAACUUUUCUGGAACCAAAAUGCUCCUACAGGUUUUUUUUUUUGAGCUUAGUAUUUUUUGGAAGUUCAAUGUACACUUCUACAAGGACUUCCAAAUGUAUCUUGUUCACUAAUAAAUUCCAAAUAAUUAUUGCUGGCUUUUGGGCU